RNAcentral lists this ribosomal RNA (322 nucleotides) under uncultured Pseudomonadota bacterium. RNAcentral describes it as "bacterial SSU rRNA". It matches the Rfam family "Bacterial small subunit ribosomal RNA", at positions 29 to 351 of the family's 1533-position model. Lineage: Bacteria; Pseudomonadati; Pseudomonadota. The record is from RNAcentral.
AAUGAACGCUGGCGGCGUGCUUAACACAUGCAAGUCGAACGUGAAAGUCCGCAAGGACAAGUAAAGUGGCAAACGGGUGAGUAACACGUGGGUAAUCUGCCCUCCGAUGGGGGAUAACAGUUCGAAAGGGCUGCUAAUACCGCAUGACAAACCGCUAUCAAUUUAGUCGGUUUUAAAGCAGCAAUGCGUCGGAGGAGGAGCCCGCGGCCCAUUAGCUAGUUGGUAGGGUAACGGCCUACCAAGGCGACGAUGGGUAGCCGGCCUGAGAGGGUGUACGGCCACACUGGAACUGAGACACGGUCCAGACUCCUACGGGUGGCUG